GAACGGUAGCGGGGAGAGCUUGCUCUCUGCCGACGAGUGGCGAACGGGUGAGUAAUGCAUCGGAACGUGCCCAGUCGUGGGGGAUAACGCAGCGAAAGCUGUGCUAAUACCGCAUACGAUCUGUGGAUGAAAGCGGGGGACCUUCGGGCCUCGCGCGAUUGGAGCGGCCGAUGUCAGAUUAGGUAGUUGGUGGGGUAAAGGCUCACCAAGCCAACGAUCUGUAGCUGGCUUGAGAGGACGACCAGCCACACUGGGACUGAGACACGGCCCAGACUCCUACGGGAGGCAGCAGUGGGGAAUUUUGGACAAUGGGCGCAAGCCUGAUCCAGCAAUGCCGCGUGCAGGAAGAAGGCCUUCGGGUUGUAAACUGCUUUUGUACGGAACGAAACGGUCUGGGUUAAUACUCUGGGCUAAUGACGGUACCGUAAGAAUAAGCACCGGCUAACUACGUGCCAGCAGCCGCGGUAAUACGUAGGGUGCAAGCGUUAAUCGGAAUUACUGGGCAUAAAGCGUGCGCAGGCGGUUUUGUAAGACAGGCGUGAAAUCCCCGGGCUCAACCUGGGAAUUGCGCUUGUGACUGCAAGGCUAGAGUGCGGCAGAGGGGGAUGGA
Molecule: ribosomal RNA, 610 nt
Filed under: uncultured bacterium
Lineage: Bacteria
Description: bacterial SSU rRNA
Rfam family: Bacterial small subunit ribosomal RNA
Source: RNAcentral